CCUACGGGGGGCAGCAGUGGGGAAUAUUGCACAAUGGGGGGAACCCUGAUGCAGCGACGCCGCGUGGGUGAAGGAGCACCUCGGUGCGUAAAGCCCUAUCGGCAGGGAAGAAACAGACGGUACCUGACUAAGAAGCCCCGGCUAACUACGUGCCAGCAGCCGCGGUAAUACGUAGGGGGCAAGCGUUAUCCGGAUUCACUGGGUGUAAAGGGAGCGUAGACGGCGACGCAAGUCUGGAGUGAAAGCCCGGGGCCCAACCCCGGGACUGCUCUGGAAACUGCGGCGCUGGAGUACGGGAGGGGCAG
RNAcentral lists this ribosomal RNA (305 nucleotides) under uncultured bacterium. RNAcentral's name for it is "bacterial SSU rRNA". It matches the Rfam family "Bacterial small subunit ribosomal RNA", at positions 338 to 660 of the family's 1533-position model. The record is from RNAcentral.